Molecule: long non-coding RNA, 2636 nt
Filed under: Apteryx owenii (little spotted kiwi)
Lineage: Eukaryota; Metazoa; Chordata; Aves; Apterygiformes; Apterygidae
Description: lncRNA (ENSAOWG00000017738.1)
Source: RNAcentral
CUGAAAAAACUGUGUUACUUUUGGAGGCUGAAUCAGUGCUAAGAUUCAAGGUUGAGACCUGGUCAAAGAAAUGAAAACAAAAGAUCCAACCCAAAGAGACCGACCAGCCAACCAUCCUCACCCACAGAUACUGACAACUGAAAUACAGUUUGUGAAGCCAGGGAAGUCAGCAAGGCUGGAGUAAAACUUAGAGUGUGAAUGGUGUGAAUAAAAAAUUUCAGAAAGGAAGCAAUUAUGAGGCCAGAAGGCAUUUGGUUUGCAAAAGUGAGACCCACAGGAAGCUUGAAGUGUUAUAGCAAACAGCAAAAGUUAAGGCGAUGGCUGGCAAUUGAAAAUAAGAUGCACAGACUCCAGAGAGGCAAACAUAACAGUCUGCAAGAGUGUGCAAUCAUCAGCAGAGCAUGCACAAUCUGAACAACAGCUCCGAACACACAGGUGGAUUCUCCUCUGGAAAAAUGAAUGACGUUAAUUUUGAAGAUGAAUGAAUCACUAGUCUGAGAGCAAACAGAGUAGUGACUCAUUUAAAGUUGGACUUUGGUGCCUGGGUACUGAUCAGUGUGAGUGAGUGAAAUUUGGCUCAUACUGGCGAGCUUGUCAUUGUGAAGAGAGUACAUGAACUGACUUUGAAGAGCCACGACAUCCUGUAACUCUAACUGUGCUCAGACUGAACAGAAGAUCCAUUCCCUGGUUAGACAGAAAAAAGGGACUAAAACUAAUUUGCAUAUUAAGUUAAAUGUCAGCUCCAAAUUACCAGGAUAACUCUUGAGACACCUAUUCAUCUGUGUAUUUGCUUCUAGGAAAUAUUUUCAUGGAGUAUUUCAAAUGAUUCAAUUUCCAUCCUCAAAACAUACGCCAGAGCUGAAUACCAUCUUGUGAAAACUGUGCCUUCACUUUUGGAGAGCUUGACUCAAGGUGGGCGGGAAAAGAAAGGUAGGCAAGAGAAAGUCACCCUAAAGCUGGACGGCUGCAGGGGCUAUUUCCCACUUCCGCGUUGAUGAUGCCAGAUGACAAGACACUUCAAAGAGGGGCCAGCAUUCAGCGGACCCGUGUUCAAGGCUCAUGCAAGCGAGGCCUCAGCUGGCUGUCCUGGAAAGCGAGGAGCCGGCCCCGAGGUGACAAAUCCCUCCCUGGGGGUCGCCUGCCCUGGGCGCCAACAGAGAUGCUGCGUCGGUGGGAAAAGUGCUCCGUGAAAACCCGAGCGCGGAGGAAGGGGCAGCCUUUACGCGGGGCUCCCCUCUCACCUCUCCUGUCUCAAGAGCCCCCUGGUAUUUUCAGCCUCGACUCUUCCCCCCACCCCGCCACCGCAAUGGGGUUUUGUGUGCCAUGGGCUGGUGCUUCACUUCAUCAGACGACGUCACCCCGCUCCUGCGGGACGCCCCGGAGAGGCAGGCAGUGCUCUGACGCCGAACGUCCCUCCCGGCGCGCUUCUGUGCUGGGGCAGCACUGCGGCAGUGGCCGCAGCUUCGCGGUGACUCGGGAGCUUGCCUGCUUUUUGGUAUCGCUGAGGAGGCCGACGAGGAAAAACAGUGGCUUCUGCCUGUGUCGGUUCCCCUGGGAUGGCCGGGCCCUCCCGGGUUUCAGCAGCUCCCCCUGCCACCUGGGGCAGUGCCGGCUCCCUGCAGUCCCGGUGCGCUGAGCUCCCUGCCUCUGCUGCGCCCGUCGUGGCGGAAAUCUCCUUUCUAUGUCAUCUGAGCAGCAUAAAAGAGUUGAGUUAUUUCUGACAAUGCUGGAAGAAAGGAGUGGAGAGGGUAGAGGGCGAAACUUUGUAGAAAUUUCAGCGUGACUCCGAAUGCAGUGUAAACCUUGGGAGGGAAUAAUUGAAUUAGCACCUUGAUUUGCUCUCGCUCCCGCAGCACGCUGCGAUACCUUUUGCUGCCCUAGCUGCAGUCCGUAGCAUUUCUGUCCCUGUAAUACAUGUCAUACAUCUCCUUAAGAGCUCUGUUCCCUUAGACAGCAAACCACAUUCUGCUUGACUCCCUCAGGAAGGACAAAACAAGCCCCCACCCCGAAACUCUGCUAAUUUCCCGGUUAAAAGGAUUUUUCUUACAUAAGUGAGUAGAACUGUGGCUGCUUUGUUAAAAAAAAAAAAAAGUGUUUUUUUUCUUUUUUUAAGCAGACAAAGAUGUGUAUAAAUCUGUGUGUCUUAUACAUAUAUGUAUAUGUCUUACUGAAAAUAGCAUUUAACAAAUGCCUUCUGCAUCUGCAGAAUUCUCCAACAAUCCUGACACUGUGAUCAAUCUGUAUUCUGGUGAUGUUUGGUGACAGUGAUUGAUUGAUUUUUCCUGCUAAUAGGAUCAACAUUGGGAAUAUAUUAAACUAAAAGGCACACUUCUGACUUUCAGGAAACACCCUGUGUAUUGGGCCUGAUCCAAUUGUAUUGGUUUUGGCAGCAGGAUACAAUGAUUGAUGACAGCCAGGGAGUCGAGGGCUGCUUGGAAGAAGAGUUGGAUUCCCUUAGCGGUCUCUCCAUGUGCAUGACACUGGUUUCCUGCUGGGACAGGGACACGCAUAAGAAGGGACAAUGGAGCAGGGUGGCCCAUCCAGAUAACCUCUUCUAAUGCAUAUGGUGAGAUCUGACAUGCCAGUUCAAGAAGAGAAGGCAAAAAGCUGAUGGGAAAUUAAUUCUCAGGAGUUUG